Molecule: long non-coding RNA, 676 nt
Filed under: Cyanistes caeruleus (blue tit)
Lineage: Eukaryota; Metazoa; Chordata; Aves; Passeriformes; Paridae
Description: lncRNA (ENSCCEG00000016743.1)
Source: RNAcentral
AAUGCUUGCAGCAAAGGUUAUCUCACCCUGAAGCAAAGGGCAGGAAUUGCAUGACUACAGUCUCUAACAGAUCCUGCAUUCGUUUUGAGAAUGUGACCAUGCUGAAAAAGAUGACAAUCCUUUCAACACUGCUGAUUCUGAUUCUGGUUGAUCAGCUAAAGGCACAAGGUACCCCUGUUACCCCAGUGCUUGAGGCAACCAGUGUGGAGCAAAGCAGUGAUCCCAGCGUACAGCCAAGCACAGAGCUGCCCCCUGACUACAGCGGAGACUCUCACAAGGAGGAUGGCACAGAGCAAGAUGGGAGCAAUGGAGUGCAAGAAGGUGAACAGACCUUUUGGGAGCUGAGUGGAGAGUCAAGUGCUGAGUCCAUCCCUAAGCCCAGUGUGGAGCCAAGUCAAGAACCAACACAGGAAUCAUCCACUGAAAUAUCUGAGUAAAUUCCAACAUUAAAAUUUGAUGAAAAAGCAGCACCCGCUUACCUAUAGAGGUGAUUUCACCACCAAGAACCCAUGUGGGGUUCCUGUUGCAAUCUAGAUGGCAGAGCUAUUCCCAGAACUACAUCUUGCAAGAAAACUGUAACCAUAGUCUUCAGCUCCAGAACCCCAUCUAACUCUUGAUUACUUUACCAGAUUAAUUAGAAAACAGCUGACCUGUGCUGUUUUGCUUGCAUAAUAAC